This is a long non-coding RNA of Etheostoma spectabile (orangethroat darter), 226 nucleotides long. RefSeq lists it as uncharacterized. The transcript has 4 exons. The record is from RefSeq and is a predicted model, not a curated record. NCBI's taxonomy places the organism in Eukaryota, Metazoa, Chordata, Actinopteri, Perciformes, Percidae.
GAAAAGCACAGGUGUAUUCACAACCAUUAAUGAUGGCUGCAUUCCACUUAGGAGAGGCCCUGGUGUUGAGCACGCGGACUAAUGGAAAUAGCUCACUGGGACACUUGAUGGAACUGAGCCAUCGUUAAGGUUAUUAAUUUCAGCUGUCCUUUUCCUGCUAUGACAAGUCAAAAUGUCUGAUGUGAAAAAGGUUAAUUUUUGAACCCUGGCACUCUAACUUUAAAUG